CACGUGGACACAUAGGAACGUUUAGGAAACAUAAACAUAACAAGUCUGCUUCAAAACUUGUUUUGUGACAAUCAUGCUCAGACUAUAAUGCUAGAUAAGUAUCUGAUAGAUGCUUACCUCAUCCAUCUUUCCGAGGUCAAGACCUUCAAAAUUCUUCAAUGUCAGGUUUGGAGGCAAAGUGAAUCUGUAGUAGAAGAAAGCACAUCGUUACUCUAUAAUUUCUAGCUAUCUGUUUGCAUGUUCGAAUCAAAUCAAGCUCUUGUCACAUUUCAUUGACAUGGCUUCACCUGUUCUUGAUAUCAGACUCUCUGCGGCCUAGCCUUGGGGUGUCUACAGUGAGAGCAAUAGCUUUGAACCCAGCCCUUUCAGCUCUUCUCACGAGCUGCUCAACAACAUUCCUGUUCUUGUAUACCUACUCAGAACAAUCAUAACGUGUGAACCAUCAAGUCUGACCAGGUUUAUCAGGAUGUACGACAAGCGACUGAGAUAACUUACAUAGAGCUGGAAAAAUCGAAUCCCUGGUCCUGUGGAAGCAACUUCUUCAACACUGGAAGUAGCCCAUGAAGAUAGUGUCUGAAAGCAUCACGGAAAUACUCAAACCAGAGACAUGGGGUAUGCGUGGAUAUUGGAUUAAGAAGCUCUAAACACCUGAAAGUUUAAGUAUCUUUGCUUAAGAUGAAAUCUUUCGUAAUAAAAUAAUAACAUACCAUGAUGGUUCCAGCUGCAGACGCAGCUCUAGCCGUAGCAUAUUCCCCUGCAUUAGUUUCCAGUAGAGUCUUUAGAACAAGGCCUUAGUCUUUUGGUUUUAGCGGUGCUCAAAAAAGUUUUCACUAUCUACUUAACCAAGUUUCUACAGAAUGUUUCGCUUCUCGCCAGAGUGUUUUGCAGGAAAAGGCAGAAGUCAUUUACCUUCCGGGUGAGCCAUCUUUUGCAUGGCAGUAGGAGCAACCAUGAUCGGCAUCGAGAUCUUGAACCCCAAGACGGUUGUUGUCAUAUCAAUCUUGCUCACAUCAAUCAGAAUCCGAGGCCGAAAGCUGUUAAACAUCCCAAGUUAUGUAUACCAAAUAACAACGUGUUCUCAUGUCUUAAGAAAAAAAAAAGAAGAAAGAAAGAAGAAGAACUCACAGGAUCCUUGCGAAAGCGUUUCUGUUCUCUUGAAGAGUCCAUUGGUCUUCUGCGCCAGAGGCAUAGUAGUCGUAUACCAUCUUAGGCAACUUCUGCUUUGCGAUAGCUUCAUACUCGGUAACGUUUGUGAUCUCCAUUUUCCGAUGCUGGUCUGUCAAAAGAGCAAAAAGGCCUGAGUUAAUAAGUUAGCUGUAGUGAAACUCAAGAGAUAGUGCACGAACGCAAAACACAAUCUGGUUUGUUGUUAGUCUUAACACACAGAAUCUCACACACCUUUGAUGGGGAUGGAGCUCUCGGGAGAGAUGAAGGGUGUGACUGGUAACGCUUAUAUUAUCAUAUAUCUCACAAUGUUUUAUUAUUGGUUAAAAGUUAAAUACACCUGUAAUGUAUUAAUUGGCUUGUGAAAUAUAUUUUCUAACAAGUGAAAAUUGUUGGCAGAGGAAAAAUAAUAUGGAUGAGAAGCUGAAGGUGAAGAAUGGAUGAGAAGAUACGGACAAGGAUCAGAUGGGGUUGUGUGUAUCUAAUUCACUAGCAACUUGUGUGUUCCCUAAAUUUUCUUUCAUAUUAUCGUGCUUAAUCUCAUGGGGAGAAAAAAAAAAAAAUCGUAAACCAAUUGGUUUUCAUUCUUUUGAAAGGACAUAAAUAAAUCCGAGUGGAUGAUGAUAUGGAAGAGAAACUAAAAAGCGUGCGAGGAAGAAGAGCCGGAUUUUACAGGCCUAGUUAUAAACCUUAAAGCCCAAAUACUAUUGGGCUUAACAAUGGGAGAAAGAGUCCAUAAUUUGUUGAUGCAGAUAAUCAAAGUAUAGUCGUUUCUGUGAGUGUGCCCGUGUUAAAUAUUUAAGCUGUUGUUUUGAUUGAGAAGAUGGAAAAUGCUCAGUGAAGAAGAGCACGAAAAGGGGGAAAAAGAAAAACAGAGACAGAGUCCAUAACUUUUAUACAUUUAUCGAUUUCAAUGGCGGACCGGAGCAGGGGCUUUCUGAGAUGAUUUUUGGGACAUGUGCUCUUACAUUCUUCUCUAUAUCGCCAUUUCAACCGGUCAAAUCUCUUAUUCAGUAAGGUUUCACUUAAAAUUUCACAGCUUCUCUGUAUCUACGUUCUCGCAUCGUUUUGUUCUGUGCACUUUCGAUUUGUGAACCGAUCUCUAGUUGUCUCUAUUGUAUAAGUAAGAAGAUUGUACUGAAGGUAGAAGUAGCCAAAUAGCAUUACAGAGAGAAUCUGUAGUCAUGUUUUGUGAUUUUCGAUAUAGCGAGAGAAACAAGUUUUGAGAUAAAAAAGGAAAAAAAGCAGAGUUUAAGCCAAGUAUGAAGUGAGCAAUGAUAAGAAUAAAGUGUAGCCAUUACAUGCCCUGUCUUGUUGCUGUUCUCUGGUGGUUGUUUCUUUUCUUUCCUCUACAACCUGGGCAAAUGGCGCGGCGUGUCCCAUUCGGUGACAAUGUGGUUGCGCGUAAUUUCACUGAGAGACCGGCACCCACUUAGUGCCAUGGUUAGCUCGAACUCAUCGCGUAGCAUUUGAAGCACCUUUCUCACUCCAGCUUCUCCUUCAGCAGCCAGUGAGAAUACCACUGGUCUCCCAAUCUGAGACCGAGAGGGCAAUUAUCAAUAACGUGACAGUUAUCAAUGGUUUCAACCAGUGUAAAUGGAGAUAUGAUGCUUACAAAUAUCCCUGAGGCUCCAAGUGCAAGUGCCUUGAAGACAUCAGUUCCACGUCGAACACCACCAUCCAAGAAGACAGGAACUCUUCCCUGUGUCGCCUUGACAACCUGAACACACGAGAACAGUGCUGAAUUUGCUGAUUCAAGAACACAAUUUGACCUUUAUAGCCUUGAAUGAUCUACCUCUUCCAGAGCUGAGAUUGUUGCUGGCACAUAGUCGAGCUGGCGAGCUCCAUGGUUUGACACAAUGAUCCCUGCUGCUCCAGCUUGAAUCGCUAUCCUUGCUGCAAUGAGGACAAUAAUUGUUGAUCUUGUCAAGUAUUGGAAACUUUUAAGUGAUGGAAACAUUUCAUUUUUCAGAUAGUAACUGACCAUCCUCCCCUGUAAGAACACCCUUGACAAGAAUGGGCAUGCUGGUGAUUGUCUGGAGCCACUGGACGUCCUGUUUGUGUAGAUGGAAGUUAGAGAAAUCUGAAUCAAACAAUCAAGUUUUGCGAUGCUAAUUUAUGGUACUCUUUUACCUUCCAGCUCAAGGUACGGUCAAUUUGACCAGCAACAUAUGAAGCCAAACCAGAGUCAUUGGCCUGCAGGUGGACACAUAACAAGCUCAGGAACACUUAGGAAACGUAAACAUAACAAGUCUGCUUUAAGACUUGUUUCAUGAGUAGAUCACUGCCAUUAUUCAGACGAUAUAUGCUUACCUCAUCCAUCUUUCCGAGGUCAAGACCUUCAAAGUUCUUCAGUGUCAGGUUUGAAGGCAAAGUGAAUCUGUGUAGAAGAACACAAAUCGUUACUUCACAAUUUUUUUUGCUAUCUGUU
RNAcentral lists this long non-coding RNA (3595 nucleotides) under Eutrema salsugineum. RNAcentral describes it as "long non-coding RNA (ESAL_LNC001650)". The record is from RNAcentral. Lineage: Eukaryota; Viridiplantae; Streptophyta; Magnoliopsida; Brassicales; Brassicaceae.